UCCCUGAACACACAUCUGUGGUCUGUCACAAACCAGGGUUGGAACUGCAGAACUCUUAGUCACCGUUGUUCUGAGAGAGCGAGGAAUUGCGACUAGGGAUUGUGAACGCAGCCUUAGGACGUAGUUACACUCAGCUGUGUGGUGGUCCCAGUAUUUCAUGCUGUGGCACCUUGACUGGACAUAGUGGCAUUACAUGUAGGAGGCAAAUUCUCUCCAACAUGAGGUAAAGAAAGCAGGAAACUGUGACUAAAUGAAGAUCACAGAGCCAGUUGAUCAGUGGGGAAGCUGCAUCUGAAAUCCAGGACUUCUAGAUCCUGGGUCAACUGGAGGGGUCAUGCAUUCUGGAAAAUGAUGCAGAGUGGUACAGGCUGAAGCGGAGCGGAGAGGACACUGUUUCAAGAUUCCUGCGCCAGCUCCUUCGUUGUUAUAGAAGUUGGACUAAAUAAAAGGAGGCAGGCAUGCCAUGAACUGGAAAAUGUUUUUGAGAUCAAGGAAAAGCAGCAAUAAGGAAGGCCUUACUACGGAACUGAGAGAGGAGAUAAAAAUCUUUGUUCUUGAUGGUCUUGAUCCCACCUGCCUGGGUGCUGCAGCUCAGUGCUGCCUGAGAAAGCAAGGGACCAAGAGGAGCAGAAGACUACCAGCAAUGUGUGAACGAUCCAGUUGCUCUACGUCCUUGCCAGCAGUUAGUAUGGUAAGUAUUUUCAAAAUGUUAUCUGUUCAAAUAGAUGGUUAGUGGUAGCUCAUUGUGGCUUUAAUUUGCAUUUUCCUAAUGGCUAACUUUCCUAAUCUUUUCAUGUACUUAUUUGCCAUACGUAUCUUUUUUGGUUAAAUGUCUGUUCAUAUGUUUUGCCUGCCAAUUUCUUUUCUUGUUAGUGAGUUUUGAGAGUUCCUUAUAUAUUCUACAUACAAGUCUUUUAUUAGAUAUAUGAUCUGCAAAUGUUUUCGCCCACUUUGUGGCUUCUCUAUUCUGUUCUCUUACAAGUAUUUUUCAAACAGCAGAAAUUCUUAAUUAAAUUUAUUUACUUUUUCUUUUAUAACUGUGCUUGGUUGUCACGUCUAAGAGAUUGUUGCCAGCCCCCAAUAAGCAAAGAUUAUUUUCCCAAUUUUUGCUAGAUGCUUUAUGGUAUUUGAUUAGUGAAGAUAUGAUUGGAGGAGAAAAUUCAGGGGCUUUGAAAAUACUAUCACGGUUCUAUGUUUUUUAACCUCUGUGGUAUUUACAUGGGUGCUUGCUUUAUUUUUUUUUAAAAUGCUAUAUAUCUGUACAUCUCUGGGUAUGUUUACAAUAAAAAAUUAGAAGAAGAGUAUGACAAAAAUUUGACAUCCAUUCAUGUCGUGGGAAAAAUAAGCUGUAAAUAUCAUACUUAAUGGAGAAAGAUUUGCAGCAUUCUCUUUGAAGUACACUAGACAGGUUUGCUCACCAUAACCACUUCUAUUCAGCAUUGUUUCAGAGGGCCUGGCCUCUGAAAUAAAAUAAAAAUCAGAACAAAUAAAUAUUCAAAAUGAUUAUAAAGAUUAUUUCUAUAUAAUAUCUGAGACAAUCUACUAACAAGCUAUUAGAAUUAGUUUUAAAAAUUUCACAUAGUUUCUGGAAAUAAGAUUAACAUAAAAGAUAAAUAAUGUGUAAUACGCUAUGACUCAUUUUAACAAAUCAUUUUAAAUGUAGUUAAAAUAUUCCAUUCAAAAGAGCAAUGAAUAUAAUAAAACACGUACAAGUCUUUCUGCAUGGAAAAGUUUAAAUUAUGUGUAAGGACCUAAGGAAGGCUAAUAUAAAUGGAUACACUGUUUUAUGAAUGGAAAGACAUGCAUGUUAAAGAUAAAUUCACAGUCCCAAUUCUGAGUAUGUUUUUAUGGAGCUUGACAAGGUGAUGUUAAAAUUCAUUUGAAAGACAAAGACUAAAGAACUCAAGACAGUGUCAAAGAAAAUAAAAAAGAGAAAAAUUUCUCCAAGAGACUUGGUAUAAAUUGUUUUCUAUCUGGUGGCACCUACUUUAAGAUUUAAUCAAUGUCUUCUAUUCUAUGAAGUCUUCUCAGCCUAUGACAAUUCCCCUCCCAUGUAAUUUCAUUGCAUUCUCUACUUAUCUCUUUCAUAGUAUUUAUCAUAGUGUUUAUCAUAACUGUGCUGAGAUUUGUAUUUACUCCUUUAUGUCCUGACUGAGCUAUUAAGUGAUUGUGCAGUUCAUCUUUGUAUACCCAGAGUGCCACAUGGGAUGUAGCUCACAAUAAAGCUAAUAAAUGUCAGCUGCUUGCUCUCUGGCUUUACCAUUAGUAUUUCUUGGUAAGAUGAGCUUAUUGUUUCCAUUAAGUUCCUCACCUAGGCUUUGGCAAAGGACAUUAAAGUUUGGUCAUUUUUCAUACUUAACUACCUGGGGCUCGAUUUUAAAAUGAUGUCUGCAAGUAGCUCUUUGUUACUAUCCAUGUUUUCUCUAAUGUUGAAUAGAGUCGUGAGUAAGAAUGCAUUAUGGAGUUUCUUAUAUGAAAAAAGCUUAGAUGAUAUCCAUUUCACCCCUCCUUUCAGAUUACAAACAGGGACUCAGGCUGCUCAGAUAAUUUCAUUUAAAAAUAACUUCAGUUAUGUUUUAUCUGUUGCAUACUAUUUCUACUUCCUGACUUGAAAUUAAAUUGAAAUCUCAAAUUGAUCAUUUAUAAAUCUGACAAUGAAAAGAGCCAGGAAACUGACAAUAUAGGAAAAUAUGUAGAAGCUAAAGGGAUAAUAAAGUACAAUACGUGAUGUUUAAAUAUGCAUGGCAUGUUAUUUUUACCUACAAUAUUCUCUUCAUCCUGCUUCACAAUUAAGCUUAACUCAUUAAAAGUUAUUGGGAAAUGGAGAAUCAUACUUAAGGGACUAUUCAAGAGAAUUUCAGCUUAUACUCUCAAAGCCUAAAUAAAAGUAUUCUAUAUUUGUACAAGCUACCCUCAGGCAGUUGUUUAUGUUCAGCAAAGAGUUAUGUAACCUUGUGAUUUCAGUUACGUCUUUCAUUAAAGAAACAAUUCUGAAUACCAUUAUUUAUUUCCUUUUGGAAUCUCACCAGGUGAAACGAUCAUUCUAAUUCUAUGUAUGUUGGCUACCAGAAAACUUUGGCAUUGGUUUUGCAGUUUAUACAUCCUGUUUGUGUUUUCUCACAUUGUGAGCAGUCUUCCUAUUUGCUUAUACAAUAGCUCUCUCCACAUCUACACUCCCCCUUGUUUUUCUUGUGUAAUUUCUUAUGUCAUUAGAGCUUACCUAUUGAAAAUUUUUAAUUAAUGCCACAGUGCAGCCAAUGCGUUUAGUUUUUUGGCGAUGUGCUUUGGAGGAAUCCUUUUUACAGUAACAUAAAUAAUCAAGUAUUAAUUUGAAUCCCCCCAAAACUAUUUUCAUACACAAGAAAUCAAUUUCAACGCAAAGAGAAAGUUAAAAAGUUUUCACAAAAACAACCUCAAUACAAUUAAAAGGACUUGCUAUUGGAAAUUAAGGUACAAAUAAUCGAACUGUACAAUCACAGGAGUUUAUAGAGCAAAAAGACAAUGCUGAGUGCUAUCAUACUUGAUUGACAUAAGUGCAUUGAUGUGAGUAGUAGUUGCAAUUAGGAGAACUAUUGAAUGAUACAAUGCGAACUCAUCUUCUCCCCCGACAAACAGGAGACAGGAACACUUGCCACUUCGGUGGAAGUCAAGGGCAGAUUGUCAUUGCAGAAGUGCUUAAUCAUUUCCUUCUGUGGGAGGAUUCAUGCUUCCACUUCUUACUGCUUUAUAGAAGAAUGUGAAAGAUUGGAGAUUUUUAUUAGCUUUUAAGAAAGAAUCCUCAGUACAUUGAAAAGAUGAUUUAAUAAUAUCCGCCAUCAAAAUUGUAAUAAUUAGCUGAUGAUGAUAUGACAUUAAAAAUACAAGAACUUGAAAACAU
Pan troglodytes (chimpanzee) is the source of this 3877-nucleotide long non-coding RNA. RefSeq lists it as uncharacterized. The transcript has 5 exons. Lineage: Eukaryota; Metazoa; Chordata; Mammalia; Primates; Hominidae. The record is from RefSeq and is a predicted model, not a curated record.